GAUGAACGCUGGCGGUAUGCUUAACACAUGCAAGUCGAACGGACAGGUCGGGGUUUUGGGCGGUGGGCGAGGGGCCAACUGGGGAGUAACACGUGAGUACGCGGCACCUGACGGAGGGGUAGCUUCAGGAAACUGGGGCUGAUACGUGAUAGGAGCUCCUCCUGCAGAGGGGCGGUUGGAAAGUUUGGGCGGUGGUGGAGGGACUCGCGGCUUAUCAGCUGGUUGGUGGGGGAGUUGCGUACCAAGGCUGCCACGGGUAGCCGGCCUGAGAGGGUGACCGGCCCCCUUGGGGCUGCGGUGCGGCCCCGACUCCUACGGGGGGCAGCAGUGGGGAAUAUUGCACCAUGGGCGGAGGCCUGAUGCCGGAACGCUGCGUGCGGGGUGACGGCCUUCGGGUUGUAGACCACUUUCGCCUUUGACGAAGCGUGAAUGACGGUAAUGGAUGAAGACGCCCCGGCUAACUACGUG
RNAcentral lists this ribosomal RNA (468 nucleotides) under uncultured bacterium. RNAcentral describes it as "partial 16S ribosomal RNA". It matches the Rfam family "Bacterial small subunit ribosomal RNA", at positions 28 to 507 of the family's 1533-position model. The record is from RNAcentral.